UACAGAGGAGCCAAGCGUUGUCCGGAUUGACUGGGCGUAAAGCGCACGCAGGCGGUUGCGCGCGGGGGGGGUGAAAUCUGGCCGCUUAACGGCCAGGCGCCAUCCCAUACGGCGCGACUGGAGUGAUGCAGAGGUCGAUGGAAUUGCCGGUGUAGUGGUGAAAUGCGUAGAUAUCGUCUGGAACGCCAAAGGUGAAGACAGUCUGCUGGGGACUUGCUGACGCUGAGACACGAAAGCCAGGGGAGCGAACGGG
This 253-nucleotide ribosomal RNA is filed under the name uncultured bacterium. RNAcentral's name for it is "partial 16S ribosomal RNA". It matches the Rfam family "Bacterial small subunit ribosomal RNA", at positions 524 to 776 of the family's 1533-position model. The record is from RNAcentral.